This 255-nucleotide ribosomal RNA is filed under the name uncultured bacterium. Its description in RNAcentral is "partial 16S ribosomal RNA". It matches the Rfam family "Bacterial small subunit ribosomal RNA", at positions 524 to 776 of the family's 1533-position model. The record is from RNAcentral.
UACGUAGGGUGCGAGCGUUGUCCGGAAUUACUGGGCGUAAAGAGCUCGUAGGUGGUUUGUCGCGUUGUUCGUGAAAACUCACAGCUUAACUGUGGGCGUGCGGGCGAUACGGGCAGACGUAGAGUGCUGUAGGGGAGACUGGAAUUCCUGGUGUAGCGGUGGAAUGCGCAGAUAUCAGGAGGACACCGAUGGCGAAGGCAGGUCGUCUGGGACAGUUACUGACGCUGAGGAGCGAAAGCAUGGGGAGCGAACAGG